Molecule: non-coding RNA, 808 nt
Filed under: Tetranychus urticae (two-spotted spider mite)
Lineage: Eukaryota; Metazoa; Arthropoda; Arachnida; Trombidiformes; Tetranychidae
Description: Eukaryotic small subunit ribosomal RNA
Rfam family: Eukaryotic small subunit ribosomal RNA
Source: Rfam by way of RNAcentral
GGGGAAGUAUGGUUGCAAAGCUGAAACUUAAAGGAAUUGACGGAAGGGCACCACCAGGAGUGGAGCUUGCGGCUUAAUUUGACUCAACACGGGAAAACUCACCCGGCCCGGACACUGAGAGGAUUGACAGAUUGAGAGCUCUUUCUUGAUUCAGUGGGUGGUGGUGCAUGGCCGUUCUUAGUUGGUGGAGUGAUUUGUCUGGUUAAUUCCGAUAACGAACGAGACUCUAGCCUACUAAAUAGACUUGCAGUUUACACUGCAGUACUCCCCUUAGUCAACCUGUGGGUGGUAGUAUCUCUUGAUGGUUUCGGCUGUGAGGGCUCUGCUGCUAUUAGCCUACAGAAUUGGCUAGGGUAAGGAUGCUGUAGCACUGUAAGGACUUCUUAGAGGGACAAGCGGCGCUCGCAGCCGCACGAAACAGAGCAAUAACAGGUCUGUGAUGCCCUUAGAUGUCCGGGGCCGCACGCGUGCUACACUGAAGUGGUCAUCGUGCAUACUGUUCCUGCUCCGAAAGGAGUGGGUAACCGCUUGAACCCAUUUCGUGAUGGGGAUUGGGCAUUGUAAUUAUUGCCCAUGAACGAGGAAUUCCCAGUAAGCGUGAGUCAUUAGCUUGCGUUGAUUACGUCCCUGCCCUUUGUACACACCGCCCGUCGCUACUACCGAUUGAAUGAUUUAGUGAGGACUUCGGACUGGUCAAUCCAGACCAUUGGGAAACUAGUGGUCGGAUUGUGCUGGAAAGAUGUUCAAACUUGAUCAUUUAGAGGAAGUAAAAGUCGUAACAAGGUUUCCGUAGGUGAACCUGCGGAAG